RNAcentral lists this ribosomal RNA (1424 nucleotides) under metagenome. RNAcentral's name for it is "bacterial LSU rRNA". It matches the Rfam family "Bacterial large subunit ribosomal RNA", at positions 1481 to 2925 of the family's 2925-position model. The record is from RNAcentral.
AAAAGCGGAAGCCGGGAAUGGAAAGCCCGGUGCAAGCGGGGUACCAGUCACUUGGCAAAUCCGGGUGGCAAUGGGAAGCCGUGAUGCGGAGCGAAAUAAAGUAGCGAAGUCCGUGAGCCAUGCGUCAAGAAAAGCCGCUAUCGUUUAUACCGUACCCGUACCGUAAACCGACACAGGUGGAUGAGGAGAGAAUCCUAAGGCCGGCGGAAGAAGCAUUGUCAAGGAACUCGGCAAAAUGGCCCCGUAACUUAGGGAUAAGGGGUGCCUGGGAAACCAGGCCGCAGAGAAUAGGCUCAAGCAACUGUUUAGCAAAAACACAGGUCUAUGAGAAACCGAAAGGUGAGGUAUAUGGGCUGACGCCUGCCCGGUGCUGGAAGGUUAAGAGGAGAGGUUAGCGCAAGCGAAGCUUUGAAUUUAAGCCCCAGUAAACGGCGGCCGUAACGAUAACGGUCCUAAGGUAGCGAAAUUCCUUGUCGGGUAAGUUCCGACCCGCACGAAAGGCGUAAUGAUUUGAGCGCUGUCUCGACAAUGCAUCCGGUGAAAUUGAAGUACCAGUGAAGAUGCUGGUUACCUGCGCCAGGACGGAAAGACCCCAUGGAGCUUUACUCCAGUUUGGUACUGGGACUCGGUAUUGCAUGUACAGGAUAGGUGGGAGGCUAGGAGACAGUAACGCCAGUUAUUGUGGAGCCGCUGUUGGGAUACCACCCUUGCAGUAUUGGGUUUCUAACCAGCCGCCGUGACCCGGCGGUGGGACAAUUCCAGACGGGGAGUUUGACUGGGGCGGUCGCCUCCGAAAGGGUAUCGGAGGCGCCCAAAGGUUCCCUCAGAAUGGACGGAAACCAUUCGAAGAGUGCAAAGGCAGAAGGGAGCUUGACUGCGACACCGACGGGUGGAGCAGGUACGAAAGUAGGGCUUAGUGAUCCGGUGGUAUUAAGUGGGAAUGCCAUCGCUCAACGGAUAAAAGCUACCCCUGGGAUAACAGGCUUAUCACUCCCAAGAGUUCACAUCGACGGAGUGGUUUGGCACCUCGAUGUCGGCUCAUCGCAUCCUGGGGCUGUAGUAGGUCCCAAGGGUUGGGCUGUUCGCCCAUUAAAGCGGUACGCGAGCUGGGUUCAGAACGUCGUGAGACAGUUCGGUCCCUAUCCGGCGUGGGCGUAGGAUAUCUGAGAGGAGCUGUCCUUAGUACGAGAGGACCGGGAUGGACGGGCCGCUGGUGCAUCGGUUAGACUGCCAAGUCUACGGCCGAGUAGCCAAGCCCGGAAGGGAUAAACGCUGAAGGCAUCUAAGCGUGAAGCCCCCCUUAAGAUGAGAUAUCCCAUUCGAAAGAAGUAAACCCCCUUGAAGACGACGAGGUAGAUAGGGCAGAGGUGGAAGUGUGGCAACACAUGGAGCUGACUGUUACUAAUCGGGUGAGGGCUUGACCG